UUUUCUCUUCAUUUUGUUAAUGAGCUGAAAUUUGCAUUCUAGUUUGCUAUGAUGGCUUCUCUUUCUUAUUUUUCACCUCAUUCUGUAUUGCUGCUUAAUCUAUGUGAACCUUAAAGGUUGAUUUUUUUAUGGGUAGGUUUCUAUGUUCGAGAAAUCUGUGUCGAAAAUGCAAUUGAUUGAUCUCAUGAAGGCGACCAAUGAUUUUGACAAUGAAAACAUAAUUGGUACCGGCAGGACAGGGACGAUGUACAAGGCAACACUUCCAGAUGGCACUUUUCUUGCUAUCAAGAGGUUACAGGACUCACAGCAAUCUGAAAACCAGUUUGUAUCUGAGAUGGCAACGCUGGGAAAUGUCAGGCAUCAAAACUUGGUUCCCUUAUUGGGUUAUUGCAGUGCGAAGAAGGAGAGGCUCUUGGUGUACAAGUACAUGGCCAAGGGGACUCUCUACGAUC
Molecule: long non-coding RNA, 452 nt
Filed under: Musa acuminata (dwarf banana)
Lineage: Eukaryota; Viridiplantae; Streptophyta; Magnoliopsida; Zingiberales; Musaceae
Description: long non-coding RNA (MACU_LNC005043)
Source: RNAcentral